RNAcentral lists this long non-coding RNA (1276 nucleotides) under Phaseolus vulgaris (common bean). RNAcentral describes it as "long non-coding RNA (PVUL_LNC001250)". Lineage: Eukaryota; Viridiplantae; Streptophyta; Magnoliopsida; Fabales; Fabaceae. The record is from RNAcentral.
UGUUCAAGCUGAGCUUGUGAAUGGAAGAUGGGCCAUGUUGGGUGUUGCAGGAAUGUUGCUUCCUGAGGUUUUCACCAAACUUGGAAUCAUCAAUGCCCCUCAAUGGUAUGAUGCAGGGAAAGCGGAGUACUUUGCAUCAUCCUCCACCCUCUUUGUGAUUGAGUUCAUCCUGUUCCAUUAUGUGGAGAUCAGAAGAUGGCAGGACAUUAAGAACCCUGGCAGUGUCAACCAAGACCCCAUCUUCAAGCAAUACAGCUUACCCCAACAUGAAUGUGGAUACCCUGGUAGUGUAUUCAACCCCUUGAACUUUGCACCAACUUUGGAGGCCAAGGAGAAGGAACUUGCCAAUGGUACAUGCUUUAUUAUCUCUUCCUAAACAGUUCAUUAAUCUAUGAGUUCAAAAUACUAUGUUGGUACCAUGUUUAAUCAUAUAUGCUGUUUCUGAGUGCGGUUUGGUUUGCCAUUUGGAAUCUGAUGUAUAAUAAUUUUAACUGGAUGUGGAUCAUGGAGUCUUGUUUAACAUAAUCCUAAAUCAAACCAAAUAAGCACAUAACUGAGGUUUCUAUUUGUAGAACUGUUGAGCUAACCUUGUUUUGGUUAUAAUUUGUGUAGGGAGAUUGGCUAUGUUGGCAUUCUUGGGAUUCAUAAUUCAACACAACGUGACAGGGAAAGGACCAUUUGACAACCUCUUGCAGCACCUCUCUGACCCAUGGCACAACACCAUCAUCAAUACAAUCCGUGGCUACUAAGUUUGUAUCCAAUGACACAUGAUGAUAAGCCUGUGUCCUUCUCGUGUAAUCCUCAAUGGGUGAAUUUUGAGACAGAUUUGGGCAUGAUUGUAAUGAUCCAUCUAUUUUCAUGUACAGAGGAACUCAGAUGGUUUUAUAUUGUGGUUUAGAUUCAACUCAGUUAAUCACAAAUCAAGCAUCAUAUUUAAAAAAAAAAAAUCAAAAUUCGAAUACAGUAUUUCUGAAGUAUGUAAAAUUGAAUUCCAGUUUUAACAAAAUUUAAAUUUAUAAGUUGGAUCACUACAUGGAAUUUCAGAACACAUCUGGUGGCUAAAACUAAAUCUAAAUCCCAACACAAAAAAACAAAUAUAUUUUUGGGAAAUCAACUUUUGGCUUAUCAACACUUAACUAAGACUACCCUCAAAUUGCAUUUUAAUUUCUUCCUUUUAUAGAGGCAAUUGAUUAAUCGUGAUAGGCUACCGUAUUCUUGUCACUUAAUGUUUUCAUAUUCCUGUCUAAUCUGAAAUAUAAUUUAAACGAGAAAGGAU